This 419-nucleotide ribosomal RNA is filed under the name uncultured ammonia-oxidizing beta proteobacterium. Its description in RNAcentral is "bacterial SSU rRNA". It matches the Rfam family "Bacterial small subunit ribosomal RNA", at positions 197 to 597 of the family's 1533-position model. Lineage: Bacteria; Pseudomonadati; Pseudomonadota; Betaproteobacteria. The record is from RNAcentral.
UGGAGGAAAGCAGGGGAUCGUAAGACCUUGCGCUUUUGGAGCGGCCGAUGUCUGAUUAGCUAGUUGGUGGGGUAAUGGCCUACCAAAGCUUCGAUCAGUAGCUGGUCUGAGAGGACGGCCAGCCACACUGGGACUGAGACACGGCCCAGACUCCUACGGGAGGCGGCAGUGGGGAAUUUUGGACAAUGGGCGCAAGCCUGAUCCAGCCAUGCCGCGUGAGUGAAGAAGGCCUUCGGGUUGUAAAGCUCUUUCAGCCGGGAAGAAAAGGCUGCGACUAAUAAUCGCAGUUCAUGACGGUACCGGAAGAAGAAGCACCGGCUAACUACGUGCCAGCAGCCGCGGUAAUACGUAGGGUGCGAGCGUUAAUCGGAAUUACUGGGCGUAAAGGGUGCGCAGGCGGUUUUGUAAGUCAGAUGUGA